Molecule: non-coding RNA, 29 nt
Filed under: Rattus norvegicus (Norway rat)
Lineage: Eukaryota; Metazoa; Chordata; Mammalia; Rodentia; Muridae
Source: RNAcentral
UAAGUAGGACUGGAGAACCUUUGGAUAAU